RNAcentral lists this transfer RNA (73 nucleotides) under Poteriospumella lacustris. RNAcentral's name for it is "tRNA-Arg". It matches the Rfam family "tRNA". From Rfam's summary of the family: Transfer RNA (tRNA) molecules are approximately 80 nucleotides in length. The record is from RNAcentral. Lineage: Eukaryota; Chrysophyceae; Chromulinales; Dinobryaceae.
GGGCAUGUAACUCAGUGGCCAGAGUACGUGGCUACGAACUACGGAGUCGGGGGUUCGAAUCCCUCCUUGCUCA